UUCCUCCACCAAAGCCUUAAACCGGUAUAUCCACCAUGUCUUCCACCUUGUAACGUAAAACUUUUUCAACUACUCCGAAACACACAUCAAGUCAUUAUUAGUUUCCAACACUUCCCGGUUUAGUUCCACCAUCUAGUAAACUUCAUUUCACUAGUACAACUAAAACCAACCAAUGUCACUAACAACCAACCGAAGUUUCACAACUUAUCCACACCAUGAGAAUCACAACUAGUAACAAAGUUCAAGAACAAUACCUCGCAUUGUGUGAAAGAAAUUCAACCAUACCUUGAACCUUAUAAGCUUUCCCGUUGCCAAGAUGAACAAACUCCACCUUCAACUAGCUCCAGGGCUUUAAAGUACUCCUUCCUCAAAACACAUGUGAUCGGAGCAUCCAAAGUCCAUGACUUCAACUCCAUUGAUUCCCAACUUCACCAUACUAGCACAUCCGCAUUCUCACAGUAAUAAGGUUGUUGUUUCGAACGUAAUCCUGAGUAUUAUUAC
RNAcentral lists this long non-coding RNA (501 nucleotides) under Trifolium pratense (red clover). RNAcentral's name for it is "long non-coding RNA (TPRA_LNC011454)". The record is from RNAcentral. Lineage: Eukaryota; Viridiplantae; Streptophyta; Magnoliopsida; Fabales; Fabaceae.